Molecule: ribosomal RNA, 465 nt
Filed under: uncultured bacterium
Lineage: Bacteria
Description: bacterial SSU rRNA
Rfam family: Bacterial small subunit ribosomal RNA
Source: RNAcentral
CCUACGGGUUGCAGCAGUAGGGAAUCUUCGGCAAUGGACGAAAGUCUGACCGAGCAACGCCGCGUGAGUGAAGAAGGUUUUCGGAUCGUAAAACUCUGUUGUUAGAGAAGAACAAGUAGGAGAGUAACUGCUCUUACCUUGACGGUAUCUAACCAGAAAGCCACGGCUAACUACGUGCCAGCAGCCGCGGUAAUACGUAGGUGGCAAGCGUUGUCCGGAUUUAUUGGGCGUAAAGCGAGCGCAGGCGGUCUUUUAAGUCUGAUGUGAAAGCCCUCGGCUCAACCGAGGAAGGUCAUUGGAAACUGGAGGACUUGAGUGCAGAAGAGGAGAGUGGAAUUCCAUGUGUAGCGGUGAAAUGCGUAGAUAUAUGGAGGAACACCAGUGGCGAAGGCGACUCUCUGGUCUGUAACUGACGCUGAGGCUCGAAAGCGUGGGGAGCAAACAGGAUUAGAUACCCGUGUAGUC